CCUACGGGCGGCUGCAGUGGGGAAUUUUCGGCAAUGGACGCAAGUCUGACCGAGCAAUGCCGCGUGAACGAUGAAGGUCUUCGGAUUGUAAAGUUCUGUUGUUAGGGAAGAAAAAAAUGACGGUACCUAACUAGAAAGUCCCGGCUAACUAUGUGCCAGCAGCCGCGGUAAUACAUAGGGGACAAGCGUUAUCCGGAAUUAUUGGGCGUAAAGAGUGCGUAGGCGGUUUAUUAAGUCUGGUGUGAAAUUUCAUGGCUUAACCAUGAAGGGUCAUUGGAAACUGGUAAACUUGAGUACGGUAGAGGUAAGUGGAAUUCCAAGUGGAGCGGUGGAAUGCGUAGAUAUUUGGAGGAACACCAAUGGCGAAGGCAGCUUACUGGGCCGAAACUGACGCUGAUGCACGAAAGCGUGGGGAGCAAACAGGCUUAGAUACCCCGGUAGUC
Molecule: ribosomal RNA, 443 nt
Filed under: uncultured bacterium
Lineage: Bacteria
Description: bacterial SSU rRNA
Rfam family: Bacterial small subunit ribosomal RNA
Source: RNAcentral